Molecule: unclassified non-coding RNA, 276 nt
Filed under: Glomus sp.
Lineage: Eukaryota; Fungi; Glomeromycota; Glomeromycetes; Glomerales; Glomeraceae
Description: partial contains 5.8S ribosomal RNA and internal transcribed spacer 2
Rfam family: 5.8S ribosomal RNA (bases 1-71)
Source: RNAcentral
GUGAAUCAUCGAAUCUUUGAACGCAAAUUGCGCUCUCUGGUAUUCCGGAGGGUAUGCCUGUUUGAGGGUCAUUUUUAAUAAAAAGCUGUGUGGGUGCUGCGUUGCCUGGUGACGCACUUGAUUGGGGUCGUCUUGCCUUCGGUUAAGUGACCGGAAAUUUUGCAUGGUUUUUUUCGAACGUAUUUAAAUGAUUUUACGUACGUUUGCGAUAUCAAAUACUAGUUGUGUUCAUCCUCAUGAUUGGCGCCUAUAAUUUUUCAUCAAAAUGACAUCAAA